RNAcentral lists this ribosomal RNA (468 nucleotides) under uncultured bacterium. RNAcentral describes it as "partial 16S ribosomal RNA". It matches the Rfam family "Bacterial small subunit ribosomal RNA", at positions 28 to 507 of the family's 1533-position model. The record is from RNAcentral.
GACGAACGCUGGCGGCGUGCUUAACACAUGCAAGUCGAACGGAAAGGCCCUGCUUUUGUGGGGUGCUCGAGUGGCGAACGGGUGAGUAACACGUGAGUAACCUGCCCUUGACUUUGGGAUAACUUCAGGAAACUGGGGCUAAUACCGGAUAGGAGCUCCUGCUGCAUUGUGGGGGUUGGAAAGUUUCGGCGGUUGGGGAUGGACUCGCGGCUUAUCAGCUUGUUGGUGGGGUAGUGGCUUACCAAGGCUUUGACGGGUAGCCGGCCUGAGAGGGUGACCGGCCACAUUGGGACUGAGAUACGGCCCAGACUCCUACGGGAGGCAGCAGUGGGGAAUAUUGCACGAUGGGCGGAAGCCUGAUGCAGCAACGCCGCGUGCGGGAUGACGGCCUUCGGGUUGUAAACCGCUUUCGCCUGUGACGAAGAGUGAGUGACGGUAAUGGGUAAAGAAGCACCGGCUAACUACGUG